UCGGCAUCGACCAGAGGGAAAAGGAGCAAUCCGCUUUGAGAUGGCCUCGCGUCCGAUUAGCUAGUUGGUGAGGUAAUGGCCCACCAAGGCGACGAUCGGUAGCCGGACUGAGAGGUUGAACGGCCACAUUGGGACUGAGACACGGCCCAGACUCCUACGGGAGGCAGCAGUGGGGAAUAUUGCACAAUGGGGGAAACCCUGAUGCAGCGACGCCGCGUGGAGGAAGAAGGUCUUCGGAUUGUAAACUCCUGUUGUUGAGGAAGAUAAUGACGGUACUCAACAAGGAAGUGACGGCUAACUACGUGCCAGCAGCCGCGGUAAAACGUAGGUCACAAGCGUUGCCCGGAAUUACUGGGUGUAAAGGGAGCGCAGGCGGGAAGACAAGUUGGAAGUGAAAUCUAUGGGCUCAACCCAUAAACUGCUUUCAAAAUUGUUUUUCUUGAGUAGUGCAGAGGUAGGCGGAAUUCCCGGUGUAGCGGUGGAAUGCGUAGAUAUCGGGAGGAACACCAGUGGCGAAGGCGGCCUACUGGGCACCAACUGACGCUGAGGCUCGAAAGUGUGGGUAGCAAACAGGAUUAGAUACCCUGGUAGUCCACACCGUA
This 602-nucleotide ribosomal RNA is filed under the name uncultured bacterium. Its description in RNAcentral is "bacterial SSU rRNA". It matches the Rfam family "Bacterial small subunit ribosomal RNA", at positions 185 to 804 of the family's 1533-position model. The record is from RNAcentral.